Molecule: long non-coding RNA, 570 nt
Filed under: Homo sapiens (human)
Lineage: Eukaryota; Metazoa; Chordata; Mammalia; Primates; Hominidae
Description: HSALNT0385128
Source: RNAcentral
AAUGCUGUCCUGGCACCAGUGACAUCAGUGGCCUGGCCUGGAGGGGACCUUGAAAGCUGUUCUUUGGACCCAGCAAAGCCCCACCGUGGUUGGAACGUGGGUCUCUGAGUGACUGCGUGGAGAAGAACCACUACCCUCUGCCCAAUGUAUUGGUGACAUCAGUGAGCUGUAAACUGUUAUUGGACUAAGCCAUCAAGAUUUGGGCGUUUGUUUGUUACCACAGCAACACCUGCUUUGCACGGACUAAUACAUCAUGUUCACAGACACUGCUGAUGUGUUUCACCAGAUUUAGUUUUCUCCUGAUGGUUUCUGCAGCGGGUUCUGGAGCUGUGUUCCUACCUCAAUACCUACCCUAGCAUCAAAGUCCCUGGUGGGAAAGCAAUGCUUUCUCACAUUAUGAAGAUGGAAAAGAAUAUCGUCAGGGAGAACAUCACCAGCCCAGAAAAUUGGCUGUCAGCUCCAGGCCUCCAACCCUUAUAUUUAUUCCUGGGAAACCCUUGCUAAGUUAGGCAUUGAUUCUCUGCAUGUGACACGCCAUAAUAACUUCUAACUUGGAGAGUUGGCUUGUUU